Molecule: transfer-messenger RNA, 399 nt
Filed under: uncultured Prevotella sp.
Lineage: Bacteria; Pseudomonadati; Bacteroidota; Bacteroidia; Bacteroidales; Prevotellaceae
Rfam family: transfer-messenger RNA
About the family: Bacterial tmRNA, also known as 10Sa RNA or SsrA, is named for its dual tRNA and mRNA-like properties. Its role is to liberate the mRNA from a stalled ribosome.
Source: RNAcentral
GGGGUUGACUGGAUUUGACAGCAAGAUGAGAUGGUACGUAAGCAUGCGGAGUGAUGGCUGUGGACUCCUAAAUCACGUCGGUCAGAAAAUUAAUUGGCGAAAACAACUACGCUCUCGCUGCCUAAUCGAAGUACAGUAGAUUACUGGCUUUAUUCUCUUACUAGGUGAGAGAACGAGACAUCGCUCCAAGGAUGUGGUUCCGAAUCUGAGGGUCAAGCGGUGCAGGAAAAUCGGAAAUAGUUUGUCGGGUGCUCCGACUGUCAGAUGAAUUUUUAGGAGAUAAGGUCAUGAUUGGUGGUCCAGGUCUUGUCAUGGCACGAAAAUAAAGGCUGGAAUAAGCAUGUAGAAAGCGUAUGGUUUCCUUGUUUGGACGAGGGUUCGACUCCCUCCAGCUCCACU